UACGUAGGGACCAAGCGUUGUUCGGAUUUACUGGGCGUAAAGGGCGCGUAGGCGGCGUGACAAGUCACUUGUGAAAUCUCCGGGCUUAACUCGGAACGGCCAAGUGAAACUGUCAUGCUAGAGUGCAGAAGGGGCAACUGGAAUUCUCGGUGUAGCGGUGAAAUGCGUAGAUAUGUGGAGGAGCACCAGUGGCGAAGGCGACUUUCUGGGCUGUAACUGACGCUGAGGCGCGAAAGCGUGGGGAGCAAACAGG
Molecule: ribosomal RNA, 253 nt
Filed under: uncultured bacterium
Lineage: Bacteria
Description: partial 16S ribosomal RNA
Rfam family: Bacterial small subunit ribosomal RNA
Source: RNAcentral